CUGUCUGGACUCAGACAAUUGUGGUUGUUUAUAUAUACCUGUUUGGCAGUUGGAUUUAUUGAUGAUUUAUUCUCUGUUAGAAACACACAUAAAGAUUACAGAAUUUUUGUACUGGUUUAUAUGUAAUUAUGUGGCUGAAACAGUACUGUGUGAACACACUGACAAGGUCACGUAGCACAAUUUGGACUAUUUCUUCAUUUGUUGGAUAGUUUGUCAAGUUGACCUCUUAGUUAUAUUGUGUCCCAUAGUGGUGAUGAUGGUGGUGAUGUAUGCUUUGGGAGAUUUCCUUAGACGUUAUAGAAAAGAAAAGGUAAAAACAUUUCUUGUGGCACCUAAUUAAAUUAUUUUGCUUACUUGU
RNAcentral lists this long non-coding RNA (358 nucleotides) under Phaseolus vulgaris (common bean). RNAcentral's name for it is "long non-coding RNA (PVUL_LNC002022)". The record is from RNAcentral. Lineage: Eukaryota; Viridiplantae; Streptophyta; Magnoliopsida; Fabales; Fabaceae.